UACGGAGGGGGCUAGCGUUGUUCGGAAUCAUUGGGCGUAAAGGGCGCGUAGGCGGCCGAUCAAGUCGGAGGUGAAAUCCCUCGGCUCAACUGAGGAAUUGCCUUCGAUACUGUUCGGCUUGAGUCCUGGAGAGGGUAGCGGAAUUCCCGGUGUAGCGGUGAAAUGCGUAGAGACCGGGAAGAACACCAGUGGCGAAGGCGGCUACCUGGACAGGUACUGACGCUGAAGCGCGAAGGCUAGGGGAGCAAACAGG
RNAcentral lists this ribosomal RNA (253 nucleotides) under uncultured bacterium. RNAcentral describes it as "partial 16S ribosomal RNA". It matches the Rfam family "Bacterial small subunit ribosomal RNA", at positions 524 to 776 of the family's 1533-position model. The record is from RNAcentral.